This is a non-coding RNA of Schistosoma haematobium, 45 nucleotides long. NCBI's taxonomy places the organism in Eukaryota, Metazoa, Platyhelminthes, Trematoda, Strigeidida, Schistosomatidae. The record is from Rfam.
AUCCAGCAGACGAGUCCGAAAUAGGACGAAACACGCGACCUGGAU